Oncorhynchus tshawytscha (Chinook salmon) is the source of this 3216-nucleotide long non-coding RNA. Lineage: Eukaryota; Metazoa; Chordata; Actinopteri; Salmoniformes; Salmonidae. The record is from Ensembl.
GUCAACUCAGUAGAGUUAAAAUGGUCCCUCAUGUCAACUCAGUAGAGUUAAAAUGGUCCCUCAUGUCAACUCAGCAGAGUUAAAAUGGUCCCUCAUGUCAACUCAGUAGAGUUAAAAUGGUCCCUCAUGUCAACUCAGUAGAGUUAAAAUGGUCCCUCAUGUCAACUCAGUAGAGUUAAAAUGGUCCCUCAUGUCAACUCAGUAGAGUUAAAAUGGUCCCUCAUGUCAACUCAGUAGAGUUAAAAUGGUCCCUCAUGUCAACUCAGUAGAGUUAAAAUGGUCCCUCAUGUCAACUUAAAAUGGUCCCUCAUGUCAACUCAGCACAGUUAAAAUGGUCCCUCAUGUCAACUCAGCAGAGUUAAAAUGGUCCCUCAUGACAACUCAGUAGAGUUAAAAUGGUCCCUCAUGUCAACUCAGCACAGUUAAAAUGGUCCCUCAUGACAACUCAGCAGAGUUAAAAUGGUCCCUCAUGUCAACUCAGUAGAGUUAAAAUGGUCCCUCAUGUCAACUCAGCACAGUUAAAAUGGUCCCUCAUGUCAACUCAGUAGAGUUAAAAUGGUCCCUCAUGUCAACUCAGUAGAGUUAAAAUGGUCCCUCAUGUCAACUCAGCACAGUUAAAAUGGUCCCUCAUGUCAACUCAGUAGAAUUAAAAAGCAGAUAAGUAAUAAUUGGUAACUGAAAUAAGAAUAUAAGGAUAUUGAUAAAGGCACCAUUUCACAGGUAUAGUGUUCACAGAACAGUGAUGAAAACCCAUUCAUGUGCAUUCUGAUUUAAACAUUCAUAAUCACUUUCACGUUCAAUAGCCAUAAUUACCCCCCCCCACACACACACAUUGUUCCUUGUCUAGUUACCCCUAUGAGUUUCUGUUCCAUCCAUUCAAAAUGUUGUGCUUCAUAUUGUGAGUUACCCCCAUCCACAUCCCAUUAUUCUACCGUCCCAUUGGUCAAACCAGCUGAUCUCCUGCCCUGUCAUUGGCCUAACCAGCUGAUCUGAUGUCCCUUUCAUUCAAUAACAGGUGGAUCAAUUGGCCUAAUUGCUCCUCAUUGUGUCAGACAUGGUUAAAGGGUACGUCUGGCCUCCCUCUUGUAGGGCUCCUACAGCCUGUUCUAAUGAAUCCACCAAAGGCCUAAAUCCUAUUUCUGACAGCAUCACUUUGAUAGGGCUCCAUGUUGACAUGAUGCUAAUGGAAUAACGUUACUGAGGUCCAUCGAUUCAGGUCUCCUCUACACUAUACUCUUGCUCUCAUUACAAGACACUGUUGGCUCAGAGCCAAAGGUCAUACAAAGUCCCAAUUAAAUUAGCUCUGAGAGACGUUUGAUUUGUCGAAGAGACAGAGAGGGGAGGACACUCUGGGUCAGGGGAGGACUGUAGUAUUGUCCUUGAAUGCAUCCCAAUUGGCACACUCAUUCCCUAUAUAGUGCACUGCUUUUGACCAGAGCCCAGUGACCAUUGCUCAAAAGUAACGCAAUAUACAGGAAAUAGGGUGCAAUAUACAGGAAAUAGGGUGCCAUCUGGGACACAGUGCAAGCACUUGGCCUGAGUUGAGGUAGGAGCUAGCAGUGGCCUAUACAUCUGUCUGAUACAGAGCAUAACGAUAGAGAUGAUAGAAAAACCACUGAGCGCUCUGCUUCACUGGAACACAUCAUCCUCAAACAGGAUCGUCAGGCCUCAGAUCAGAUCUUGAAGUGCGUCCUAAAUGGCACCCUAUUCCCUAUAUGGUGCACUGCUUUUUACCAGAUGUCAAAUGACAAUACUUUUGGGUCUUUGGUCUAAAGUAGUGGACUAUGUAGGGAGUAGGGUGCCAUUUGGAGCGCAUACACAGAUCAAAGGGAGAGUUUCUGAAGUACUCUCUGUGGGAACGGCCUCGGGCGAAGAUACAGAACAUCACUGUUGUCAUGGUAAGACUUCAUUAUGGUAUGUCUAUGGUCUAUAUAGUUUGCCUUAUUCAACCCUUCAUCCUAACAUUGUUUCUUUCAUAGUUUCAUAUUCGAUCUCAAUUCGCUCCUACUUGUUGCCAAAAAAAUACUUUUUCAGAGUAUGGAGCUCAGAUAACAAGUUACCUAGGCUACACUCUUGCUUGAGUCACUAUCUUUAUCUUUUGAGCUUUUCUUUUUUUUGUUCUUUGUUUUUCUCAAUGCUUCUUUGUUAUUGUUUGUCUUUCUGUCUGAAUUCUUGAUAUGCAAGAGACAGUCUGGUGUUAUCGUUCAGCGAUGUACAUGCUGGCCCAUCCCCUCGCAGGUAGUGUCUACUUCAAAGUCAUGCUCUGCUCUUUAGAGGAUAAGAGGGCUGAUUCUGCUUCUCAAAUGGUACCCUACACCCUAUAGUGUAUUACUUGUGACCAGGGCCCAUGGUUUUUACCUCAAACUAGUGGAUGGUAGCAUACUAUGGUAGGUGGAAGGUAGGGCUUGUCCUAACAUUGUACUGUCCCUUAUUCACAUAUAGUGGCUUUUUUCCACCAAGGAAUUGACAUUUAUUUUCAAUUAUCAUGCCUAUAUGGAUAAUGCCUCAAUCUCUCCUUCUCUCCUUAUAGUGCAAUGGUUUUGAAAGCAUUUAAAAUGGUCUUUAUAUAGAGCAGGGAAACCAUGUGAAUACAAGCUAUCACAUUCUGAAUUGGAAUAAUGUUGAUCUUUCUCCCUGUAAUGGCUGGAUUAGGGGAGGCUGGGGCAGUUACCCCCUGUUACAUUUGCCUCCGGUCUCCCCUAAUGCACUUGAAUUCUGAUCUUGGUCAUGUUACUAAGAGAAAAGGGUUACGUCCCAAAUGGCACUCUAUUCCCUAUUUACUGCAGUACUUUACUUUACUUUUACUGCAGAUCCUUUAGGGAUCUGGUCAAAAGUAGUGCACUUUUAUUGGGAAUAGGGUUCCAUUUGGGACUCAUUCUAUCUUAAAAAUGUGCACUCAUGGUCACGGUCCACGCAGCUGCAUCCAUUCUGGUAGACUUUUAUUCAACCCUUUUAGAGCUCUACAAAUGUUAGUGAUGUUUGUCUUAUUCCCAUCCGCAUAUAAUAUGGUUAAAACUUAGACGUUUAGCAGAUUGUGUAUGUAUAAAAAAUUAAAAAGAACAUGUAAAUCAAGUAUUUUGUGGUAUCAUGUACAUCAAAUGAAUUAAUUUUACACAGUGAAAGAGCAAAAUGGAACAGAUGUUUCUAGAUAAUUCAAUACUGAACAUUCAUACUAUUUCUUUGUAUGAAUAAAUAAAUAAAAAAGUAUAUAUUUUA